UCAUUCAGAGCACAGAAACUCACCAGAGUC
This 30-nucleotide non-coding RNA is filed under the name Rattus norvegicus (Norway rat). Lineage: Eukaryota; Metazoa; Chordata; Mammalia; Rodentia; Muridae. The record is from RNAcentral.